Long non-coding RNA from Myotis myotis, 2126 nucleotides. RefSeq lists it as uncharacterized. The transcript is spliced from 3 exons. NCBI's taxonomy places the organism in Eukaryota, Metazoa, Chordata, Mammalia, Chiroptera, Vespertilionidae. The record is from RefSeq and is a predicted model, not a curated record.
GCGCCCGGCACAGGGCCACUCGGGCUGGCCCGUCACACCUCCCGUCCCAUCUGAGCCGGGUGCGAAGGGAGGGGCCGCGCCGAAAAGCGUCUCUACGGGGGAAAGGGCCGCCGCGAGGCCCGGGCGGAGGCGAGGGAGGGUCCUCCGUCGUCGCCGCGCCGCGCCGCGCGCCCAUGUCUCCAGCCACAGGCUCCCCGCACCGCCGGAGCCCCCGCUGGACACCGCGUCCUGAACGCCAUUCACCCGCCGCGACCUCCAGCCCCGCCUGGCACGCCUGGUGCAGAGGAAUCCACCUGCCCCGCUGCUGACAUACACCCCACGGCGACAUGCCCGGACCCGGCGCGUCCGCCCGCCCGAGCUGAAAUGUACCCCCGUAACUGACCCAAGCCCCUCCAUCUCUCCGAAACCACCCUAAGCCGCUUGAAAUGAAAUCCCACCCUUCACUGAGUUUCCCAUCCAACACUGAGUGGCCACCAAACCCGAAUGAACCCCCCCUGAGAGCCUGAAGUGCCCGCUACAGCCUUAACCCUCGCCCUCGGUGCUGUCUAGGAAACCCGCAGCCCCCUCGCCAGCCACAGCCUGCCCGCACCUGAUGCUGGCCGCGCUCCAGGCGCCCCAGCCCUGGGCUCAGGAGUCCCUCCACUGCCGCCCUCUGAGUCCUGGAGCAAUCCUCUCCCCAUCGCGCUAUUUGCUUGCUCUCGCCACCGUUAGCAUUAGAGCUCAAGGGCCCUGUCUCCAGCCCCUUGACUCCACCAUCUAAGGCUAAGCUCUGGCCCUUGCUAUACCCGACACCCCCCCCCCCCCAAUUUCCUUUAAUUCAUGUUAAUCCUAGGUUCCUUUCUUACCCUCUCCCAAAGUCAUGAUGCCUUUUCCUUAUCUCACUACUACUUGCUAAUUUAGUUAAUCUCACCAGCUAACCUUUUUUUUUUUUUUUAAUCCCAUCAAACCCCUCCUAUUGCCAACCCAGCAGUCACUAAAAUCUCCACUAUCCCAAAUCUUAAAUGAGUAGCAGUACUGAGAAAUUUUCUCUCUUAGCAGCUUUUCCCCUGGACCAUGAGCCCUUCUUGCUUGGUACUUGCUACCCAUGUUUAUAAACACCAGCGAUUUGAUUUAGAGGGUGAACUUCUCUCUGUUUACAUUUAGAUGAAGUAACUGUAUUCAUUGUACUGAUGAAAGGUUGGGUUAUAGACCAAAGACUAGGCUUAAUAUUCAAAGGGAGUAUAAAGUCUCUUAGUUUCUACAUGAAAAUAAAUUAUUCUUCUUACAUUUCUGGACAACAACAAAAAACCUAGGAAGGAAGAAUGCCUAUAAUUGGAUCAGGUCACAGCAUUUAUAUUGGAGUGAAAUUUUACUGUGUCAUCAAGUUUUAGGCACUCAAUGACGUUUUAAACAUUUAUCUGUGGCACAUGAAGAGCAAAGGUAAUCUAAAUCAACCCAAGCAGCCUGUCGUAGAGUACAUGCCAAGGCAUUUAAUGUACUCAACAAAUAGGUACUGAGUCUGGAGCAGGUGCCAGAUACUGUUCUUGGCAGUGGUAAUGCAAACAGAAAACAAAGCAGACAAAAUUUGAUGAUGGCAAAGUGGUGGCAUUCAGUUUUGUCAAAUGAAAAGUUAAUUAAGUGACCAAAUUAAGAAAUGAGCUGCAAGGGGAGAGAAAGGAACAAGUAAAGAAAAAAUUGUUUGCCACUAAAAUUCAAAAUAGAACCCAAGGGAUAAUGAGACAGAGCCGACCAAUUCAGACGGCACAUAAAGAGACUCAUCAACAGUGGCAGGUUUAUAGAACAUGACAGAGGAAGCUGUGCUGAGCUGAGAAGAGGAAGCAGAGAAGGAAGCAGAGAAAAACAAACUCCGUGAUAAAAAUUGGAAAGGAGCCACCAAGGCUACAAAAAACAAGGAAGGCCAUUUGUGAACUGGAUGCUGGAGUGGCUAAAAAGCCAGAGUGUCAUUUGAGGAUACAAGUAGAAUAAUCACACUUUUUUGCAUCAAAAUCUUGAAAAUGUUAAGAGAACAAAGAAAGUAAAAGCAUAGCCAAUUCACAUGUACCCUUCCCUAGAAGCUUCUAGAAGAGAAAAAAAAAAUAGCUAGGUCUACAAGAGAGGUGUGAUGGACUGUCUUGAAGAUAAGAUAC